Molecule: ribosomal RNA, 451 nt
Filed under: uncultured bacterium
Lineage: Bacteria
Description: bacterial SSU rRNA
Rfam family: Bacterial small subunit ribosomal RNA
Source: RNAcentral
AGCCAGACUCCUACGGGAGGCAGCAGUGAGGAAUAUUGGUCAAUGGCCGAGAGGCUGAACCAGCCAAGUCGCGUGAGGGAAGACGGCCCUACGGGUUGUAAACCUCUUUUGUCGGGGAGCAAAGAGAGUCACGUGUGACUCAUUGAGAGUACCCGAAGAAAAAGCAUCGGCUAACUCCGUGCCAGCAGCCGCGGUAAUACGGAGGAUGCGAGCGUUAUCCGGAUUUAUUGGGUUUAAGGGGUGCGUAGGCGGGCUGUUAAGUCAGGGGUAAAAUGUGGGGCCUCACCCCCGGCCUGCCGUUGAAACUGGCGGCCUCGAGUGGGCGAGAAGUAUGCGGAAUGCGUGGUGUAGCGGUGAAAUGCAUAGAUAUCACGCAGAACUCCGAUUGCGAAGGCAGCAUACCGGCGCUCAACUGACGCUCAUGCACGAAAUCGUGGGUAUCGAACAGGAU